UUGGUGCUGCCUCCAUUCCAUCACUGAAGGAGCCUGAGAAGCCUGAGCAGCCCACUCCAAGGAAAAGCCCCUACGUUCCCCCUCCCACUGGCCUCUUUGAUGAUGAUGAUGAUGAUGAUGACGACUUUUUCUCGGCACCCCGCAGCAAACCUUCCAAAACAGGCAAAGUCCAAUCCGCUGCCAAUAUCUUUGGUGACGAAGAAGGAGAUCUGUUCAAAGAAAAAGCCCAAGCAUUGCCAGAAGCCACUGUGAGUCAGACAGAUGAAAAUAAAGCAAGAGCAGAAAAAAAGGUUACCUUACCUUCCAGCAAAAAUCUCAAGUCCUCGUCAGAAACAAAGACUCCAAAAGGCUUAUUUUCAGAUGAGGAGGACUCUGAGGAUUUGUUUUCUUCUCAAAGUGCGAGUAAGUUAAAAGGUGCGUCUCAGCUCCCUCGCAAGCUCCCCACGUCGGUUUCCCUGUUCGAUGAUGAAGACGAAGAGGAUAAUCUUUUUGGGGGUACAGCUGCUAAGAAGCAGACAUUGUCUCUACAAGCUCAGAGAGAAGAGAAAGCAAAACCCUCUGAGCUCUCCAAAAAGAAAGCAUCUGCCCUGUUGUUCAGCAGUGA
Molecule: long non-coding RNA, 604 nt
Organism: Rhinopithecus roxellana (golden snub-nosed monkey)
Lineage: Eukaryota; Metazoa; Chordata; Mammalia; Primates; Cercopithecidae
Exons: 5
Source: RefSeq, a predicted model, not a curated record